Molecule: long non-coding RNA, 1239 nt
Filed under: Bemisia tabaci
Lineage: Eukaryota; Metazoa; Arthropoda; Insecta; Hemiptera; Aleyrodidae
Description: lncRNA ENSSSA1UGG005649
Source: RNAcentral
AUGCUAGGAGUGAAAUCGGGAAGACUACGCAUAAAAAAUGCAACACCCAAUCACUACAAAAUCGUACAAAAUCUCGUCGUCACUGAGACUUGGUUAAAUAGUUCUGUUUUCAGUGGAGAGCUGGGUCUGGGUGGUUAUACUGUCUACAGAUCUGAUCGCAUAUAUGAUGAUGAAAUUCAAAGAGGUGGGGGAGUAUUAAUUGCUGUCAAAAAUUCUCUUAAGUCUUGUCGCUUGGUAGUUACUCCUCUUGAAGGCUACUCUAGCCACCUGUUUGUAAAAUUGUCUCUUGCUCCUGUCGUUAUUAUUGGUGGGACGUAUAUUCCCCCCUGCUUGAACUCUUCAGUAUUCAGGGAUCAUUCCCUGGUAGUAAGUACCUUAGCAGAUCAGUGCCCUGGCGCUAAGUUAAUGCUCUUUGGAGAUUAUAAUCUGUCUAAAAUUGCUUGGUCCAGUUCUUUGCCCCUUUGUGCUGAGUGUACAAGUUAUGUGGAUCCUAAUGGUAUUGAUGCUGUAAAUCAUGUAGCAUCCGCGUUUACUUGUUUAAGUUUGAACCAAUGUUUUCCUGCCCAUCCGUCCAAAGGAUACACCUUGGACUUGUUGUUUUCUAAUGUGGAUAGUAUUUCUGUUUCUGACCCACCGGAUGAUUUUGUAUUCAGAUCGAAUGAUAACCAUUGUCCUAAAUUGUUUUCUUUUCCUCUUAAAUCUUUUGCAUCUCUUAAGCCUAAGUUAUUUUAUAAGAACUUCUUUUCUUGUGAUUAUGGCCCAAUUAAAACCAGAUUAUCUGGAAUUGAAUGGUCCUCCUUAUUUAAAGAUAAAUCUCUUGAUGAGAUGGUUGACAUUCUCAGUGAGGAAUUAAAUGAAGUUGUAGCUGAGCUUGUUCCUACUUCUUGUAAGCGCCCCGACGCCAAGUUUCCUGUUUGGUAUGACCAUGAGCUCAUCAAAUUUACAAUGGAUAAAAGAUUCUAUCACUUCUUGUGGAAAUCUAAUGGUGAAAUGAGUGACUACAUUCUAUUUAAGAAACUUAGAGCUCAAUGUAUUCGCAAGUCCCGUGAAUUGUAUAAGAGUUACUUACUCAAGGUGGAGUCUAACUGUAAGUCUAAUUUAAAGGCUUUUUGGUCAUUUGUAAAUAAUUUUAAUAAACUACAAAAACCCUCAAAAACAUUUUUCGGGCAAAAAAUCCGGUCGAGGAAAUUGACGUGUCACUUCCUUUUAAUCAAGUAUAAGAUAGGCAAAAACCUUUGA